This 244-nucleotide small RNA is filed under the name Malus domestica (apple). Lineage: Eukaryota; Viridiplantae; Streptophyta; Magnoliopsida; Rosales; Rosaceae. The record is from RNAcentral.
CGAUGCGAUCAUACCAACUCAUAUGCAUCGAAGCUCAUUAGAAUUCUGAAGUUAAGCGAAUUUGGACGAAAGUAGUACUAGGAUGGGUAAUCUCUUGGGAAGUCAUCGUGUUACAUCCCCCACCUCUUAUGCGAUCAUACCAACUCACAUGCACCGGAUUCCAUCAGAACGCUGAAGUUAGCAAGUUUGGGUAAGAGUAAUACUAAGAUGGAUGACCUCCUGAGAAGGCCUCAUGUUGCAUCCC